AUUGGAAUUAAUCAUUCCUUUGAUUACUGGUUGUAUUUUCCCGUUAGGAACUCGCUGUUUCGUCACUUAAUCGAGUGCGAAGCGGGCUGGUACAAAUAUUCCCUCUUUCGAGAGAUAUUGUUUCAGCAUGUUUACCUUGAGAAAAUUAGAGUGCUCACAGCAGGCAGUUGGAGAGUAAAAUCUUCUUUAUGCUUGAAUAAUGUUGCAUGGAAUAAUAGAAUACGGCCUCGGUUCUAUUCUGUUGGUCUUAUAGAACAACAAACAAGUUGAUUAAAGCGACAAAAAGUUUUAUUUAGAUGUGGUUUGUGUUAUUUAGUUGCCUAAAGCCUUAAAACUUUUGUGCCUAGUAAUCAUUCCAUCUAAGCAUCUUUAUAUAAACUAGCUUCCAAUCAACUGAGGCAAUGGUUAAAAGAAAUAGUCGCGGCGGCAUCAGUACUGCAUCGUGAGAGGUGAAAUUCUUAGACCGAUGCAAGACUAACUGAAGCGAAAGCGUUUGCCGAGGAUAUUUUCAUUAAUCAAGAACGAAAGUUAGAGGUUCGAAGGCGAUCAGAUACCGCCCUAGUUCUAACCAUAAACGUUGCCAACUAGCAAUUGGGUUGCGAUUCCUUUAAUCGAGUGUGUAAAAACCUCGAUCAUUAUGAUCCACCCAGCGGCUCUCGUAGGGAAACCAAAGUUGGGUUCCGGGGGAAGUAUGAUUGCAAAGUUGAAACUUAAAGGAAUUGACGGAAGGGCACCACCAGGAGUGGAGCCUGCGGCUUAAUUUGACUCAACACGGGGAAACUUACUAGAUUAGAACUCUGGAAUGAUUGACAGAUUGAUAGCUCUUUCUUGAUUCAGAGGAUGGUGGUGCAUGGCCGUUCUUGAUUCGUACUCCGAAGCGUCUGCUUAAUUGCGAUAACGAGUGAGACCUCACCCAACUAACUAGUCGCUUGGUGCGCUCUGGAACACAAAAGUCUUGCUUUUAUGGGAAAAGAUUUCGGUCUGGACUUGUUUAGGUUAAGAUGUUCUGUGCUCGCCGGCGGACUUCUUAGAGGGAUAAACGGUGUUUUAGCCGUAAGAAACGAGGCAAUAACAGGUCUGUGAUGCCCUUAGAUAUUCUAGGCCGCACGCGUGCUACAAUGGCGUGUGCAAAAAGCUUGUUCGAGGUUUGUCUAAAGAGAACUAAUCAUUUGGUGGCUAAUUAGGGGCAACUUUAGUUGGUUAUCGGUGGAAAAGUGACUUUAGUUAGCAGGCCGAGAGAAACCGUAGUCGAAAGAUUACGGCAAUCAUAAAUACACGCCGUGAUUUGGGAUUGGGGAUUGCAAUUGUUGCCCAUGAACGAGGAAUUCCCAGUAAGCGCAAUUCAUCAUAUUGCGUUGAUUACGUCCCUGCCCUUUGUACACACCGCCCGUCGCUACUACCGAUUGGAAGUUUUAGUGAGGCAUUUGGACCUGUUGUUCAUGAAAUGGGCAACCAUUUUGGAACGACGGGGAAGUCUGUCGAACUCAAAUUUCUAGAGGAAGUAAAAGUCGUAACAAGGUUUCCGUAGGUGAACCUGCGGAAGG
RNAcentral lists this ribosomal RNA (1544 nucleotides) under Quercus suber. Its description in RNAcentral is "SSU rRNA". It matches the Rfam family "Eukaryotic small subunit ribosomal RNA", at positions 633 to 1824 of the family's 1831-position model. The record is from RNAcentral. Lineage: Eukaryota; Viridiplantae; Streptophyta; Magnoliopsida; Fagales; Fagaceae.